UCCAUUCCAUCUGACAAGGUGUUAAAACUCUCAUCCAAGCCAUCAAAAAUUUCUGAUCUGUUAUCCAAAUUAAAUCUGCCACCAGAAUUGCCAUAAUCAGAAUUGUAGCUCUCAGCCCUAUCUAGUCUUCAGAAGAAAGAUUGCUAACUUGGACUGUCAUUCCAGUUAUUCCCAGUGAGACCUCCAAAUAUUCACUACUCAACGUCAUCUAAAGUCUCAAUUUUUUAUUACUUUCAUUGGCCUGAGCACCUGUAAAAAGUAUACCAACAAUACAUUUAAUUUUUAUCCAUCCCCAAGCUGUUUAAAUUCGAAAACUUGUUGAAUGCGCCUAAUGAAUAUAUAUACAUAUAAUCAAGUAAAACAAACAUAUAACAUCAAGAUUGAACAGUAAAUCAGAAUAGCUUACGAUGUAUCAUAACUAAUAUGAUGCCAAAAUGAGCCAUUUUAUAUCCUUGUUAACCCUAAUCAACCUAGACCUUACAGCAGGGCCAUAACUGCCUAAGAUCUACUAGGGACAAAUAACCCCGCUCAACUCCCAACUGCAUGAAAACUUAUUCUCACACAAUACAUGUAUAAAUUUAAAAUUAAUC
This 590-nucleotide long non-coding RNA is filed under the name Daucus carota (carrot). RNAcentral's name for it is "long non-coding RNA (DCAR_LNC006995)". The record is from RNAcentral. Lineage: Eukaryota; Viridiplantae; Streptophyta; Magnoliopsida; Apiales; Apiaceae.